UUUCCCAACUCAUACAGGAUACAUCAAGGCAAUUAAAUCUGUGCGUAAACGGUAGGAAGAGCAGAACCGACAUGCCACGAAAUUUAACCGUGCCUUGUACGGUGUUGUCGGCUUCUUCUCAUACAAAGGGCGCUACAGCUUCAACAUCCUAGGAGUAUUAUGUGAUUACACGAAGAGGAUUCGAUACUUCUAGUACAGUUAUCCUGAUCCUGCCCAUGAUGCUUGAAUCUUCAAGAACCGUCAUCUAUUUGAAGAGGCCAUCGGUGACGUUCGAAGGAUUGGUGAAGCCAUACUGCAAGGAUAAUUUCAGAACAACUCAAAUGCCCUGGUUGCCGCCCAUUCUGCCUAACAUCACCGACUGUGGUUCGCGGAUUUGCCACCCACUUCUGUCUCUUCGUUCCCUUCUUUUCCUUCGUCUGCUCUCGAAAUCCUUCCAGAACUUUUUUGUCUUUCUUUUCGUGUACAUCGACUCCCUUAGGUUAGCAGCAUUUUUAAUAAAUAAUUUGAAUGAUGAAAUAGAAAAAAAAAAUGUUUUUG
RNAcentral lists this small RNA (537 nucleotides) under Cryptococcus neoformans H99. Its description in RNAcentral is "Cryptococcus neoformans var. grubii H99 hypothetical RNA". Lineage: Eukaryota; Fungi; Basidiomycota; Tremellomycetes; Tremellales; Cryptococcaceae. The record is from RNAcentral.